GUUUCCUACGGGGGGCAGCAGUGGGGGAUAUUGCACAAUGGGCGCAAGCCUGAUGCAGCGACGCCGCGUGAGCGAAGAAGUAUUUCGGUAUGUAAAGCUCUCUCAGCAGGGAAGAAAAUGACGGUACCUGACUAAGAAGCUCCGGCUAAAUACGUGCCAGCAGCCGCGGUAAUACGUAUGGGGCAAGCGUUAUCCGGAUUUACUGGGUGUAAAGGGAGCGUAGGCGGCCUGGCAAGCCUGAUGUGAAAUACCGGGGCCCAACCC
RNAcentral lists this ribosomal RNA (264 nucleotides) under uncultured bacterium. RNAcentral describes it as "partial 16S ribosomal RNA". It matches the Rfam family "Bacterial small subunit ribosomal RNA", at positions 334 to 615 of the family's 1533-position model. The record is from RNAcentral.